This 694-nucleotide ribosomal RNA is filed under the name Morchella sp. Mel-17/19/20/34. RNAcentral's name for it is "eukaryotic LSU rRNA". The stretch from base 216 to 369 matches the Rfam family "5.8S ribosomal RNA". The record is from RNAcentral. Lineage: Eukaryota; Fungi; Ascomycota; Pezizomycetes; Pezizales; Morchellaceae.
CCAAGAACCACACAGAAAAGGGAGGCAAAGGGGCCUACAGGGCUAGUAGCUUAUACGUUGUUGAACGUCCUGCCUGGACCCGGAGCCGCCCCCAUCUAAACCCUCUGCGUACCUGUCCCUUCUUGCUUCCCCCGGCAUCUCGUCGGGGGGAGGUAACAACCAAAACUCUCUGUGAAUCAAACAGCCGUCAGAAUUAUAAAACAAACAAAAGUUAAAACUUUCAACAACGGAUCUCUUGGUUCCCACAUCGAUGAAGAACGCAGCGAAAUGCGAUAAGUAAUGUGAAUUGCAGAAUUCAGUGAAUCAUCGAAUCUUUGAACGCACAUUGCGCCCCCUGGUAUUCCGGGGGGCAUGCCUGUUCGAGCGUCAUAAAAACCUCCUCCCCCUUCGGGUUUUGUUACUAUCGUUGGGGGGUUUUGGCCUAAUGGGAUAGCGAUUGGCAAUUCGUUUCCCAAUGUCCUAAAUAGACGUAGACCCGCCUCCAGAUGCGACAGCACCGAGGCCAUCAACCGUGGAGUUAUGGGAUAUAAUAGGCUUGCAGUAAAAUGCUCACCUCUCUCCACACGCCGAUGGCACGACAGUUGCAGUUGCGGGCGUAAAUUGGAGCCCUUUUCAGGACCCUUGUGGCCUAGCAUCCACCAUACAUAAUUUGACCUCGGAUCAGGUAGGGAUACCCGCUGAACUUAAGCAUAUC